AACAGGGAUGCCUCAGUAGCGGCGAGCGAAGCGGCAACAGCCCAGAUUUGAAAUCUGUCCCCGCACGGGGUCCGACUUGUAAUCUGCAGAUGGGUCUUCCCGGGGGCGCGCGCGCCGUCCAAGUGAUCCUGGAACGGUCUGCCGUAGAGGGUGAGAGCCCCGUACGGCGGCGCCGCGUCUCCUCCAGCGAAGCCCAUUCGGAGAGUCGAGCAGUUUGGGAAUGCUGCUCUAAAGGGAGGUAAAUCCCUUCCAAGGCUAAAUACCUGCCGGAGACCGAUAGCGCAGAAGUAGCGCGAGCGAAAGGUGAAUAGAACUCUGAAAAGAGAGUUAAAGCAUGUGAAAUCGUUGAAGGGGAAGCGGUUUCGACCAGACUCGCGCCGGUCGGUCACCCAGCGGUCACGCUGGGGCACUCUGCCGGCGCGGGCCAGCAUCGGCUGGCGGCGGGGUCAAAGGCCCUGGGAACGUGGCUCUUCGGAGUGUUACAGCCCAGGGCGCAAUGCCCCGUCGCCGGCCGAGGAAUCUAGCGCCCUCGGGCACGGAUGCUGGCGUAAUGGUCGACUCCGACCCGUCUUGAAACACGGACCAAGGAGUUGACCCAGCGUGCGAGUGUAAGGGUGGAAAGCCCUGACGCGCAAUGAAAGUGAAUGCUGGUGGGAGCCCCUCGCGGGGCGCACCACCGACCGAUCCUGAAGUUCUCUGACGGAUUCGAGUAGGAGCACGCUGGGUCUGACCCGAAAGAAGUGUGAACUAUGCCUGGAUAGGGUGAAGCCAGAGGAAACUCUGGUGGAGGCUCGCAGCGGUUCUGACGUGCAAAUCGAUCGUCAAAUCUUGGCUUGGGGGCGAAAGUGAGUUUACUCCCGUCCCAACUACAAUCGGAUCCGUGCUGACCAUAGUCUUAAGGACCAA
RNAcentral lists this ribosomal RNA (906 nucleotides) under Bactrodesmiastrum pyriforme. RNAcentral's name for it is "LSU rRNA". It matches the Rfam family "Eukaryotic large subunit ribosomal RNA", at positions 67 to 934 of the family's 3401-position model. Lineage: Eukaryota; Fungi; Ascomycota; Sordariomycetes; Fuscosporellales; Fuscosporellaceae. The record is from RNAcentral.